AUUGAACGCUGGCGGCAUGCCUUACACAUGCAGGUCGAACGGUAACGGGUCCUUCGGGAUGCCGACGAGUGGCGAACGGGUGAGUAAUAUAUCGGAACGUGCCCAGUAGUGGGGGAUAACUGCUCGAAAGAGCAGCUAAUACCGCAUACGACCUGAGGGUGAAAGGGGGGGAUCGCAAGACCUCUCGCUAUUGGAGCGGCCGAUAUCAGAUUAGCUAGUUGGUGGGGUAAAGGCCUACCAAGGCAACGAUCUGUAGUUGGUCUGAGAGGACGACCAGCCACACUGGGACUGAGACACGGCCCAGACUCCUCCGGGAGGCAGCAGUGGGGAAUUUUGGACAAUGGGCGCAAGCAUGAUCCAGCAAUGCCGCGUGCAGGAAGAAGGCCGUCGGGUUGUAAACUGCUUUUGUCAGGGAAGAAAUCUUCUGGGCUAAUACCCCGGGAGGAUGACGGUACCUGAAGAAUAAGCACCGGCUAACUACGUGCCAGCCGCCGCAGUAA
This 500-nucleotide ribosomal RNA is filed under the name uncultured bacterium. RNAcentral's name for it is "partial 16S ribosomal RNA". It matches the Rfam family "Bacterial small subunit ribosomal RNA", at positions 30 to 523 of the family's 1533-position model. The record is from RNAcentral.